AAAUGCGAUAAGUAGUGUGAAUUGCAGAAUUCAGUGAAUCAUCGAAUCUUUGAACGCACAUUGCGCCCUUUGGUAUUCCAAAGGGCAUGCCUGUUCGAGCGUCAUUUGUACCCUCAAGCUUUGCUUGGUGUUGGGCGUCUUGUCUCUAGCUUUGCUGGAGACUCGCCUUAAAGUAAUUGGCAGCCGGCCUACUGGUUUCGGAGCGCAGCACAAGUCGCACUCUCUAUCAGCAAAGGUCUAGCAUCCAUUAAGCCUUUUUUCAACUUUUGACCUCGGAUCAGGUAGGGAUACCCGCUGAACUUAAGC
RNAcentral lists this unclassified non-coding RNA (306 nucleotides) under plant metagenome. RNAcentral's name for it is "partial contains 5.8S ribosomal RNA, internal transcribed spacer 2, and large subunit ribosomal RNA". The stretch from base 1 to 104 matches the Rfam family "5.8S ribosomal RNA", at positions 51 to 154 of the family's 154-position model. The record is from RNAcentral.